UUUAUGGAGAGUUUGAUCCUGGCUCAGGACGAACGCUGGCGGCGUGCCUAAUACAUGCAAGUCGAGCGGACCAAUUAAGAGCUUGCUCUUAUGAGGUUAGCGGCGGACGGGUGAGUAACACGUGGGCAACCUGCCCUGUAGACUGGGAUAACUUCGGGAAACCGGAGCUAAUACCGGAUAAUCAGUGACACCACAUGGUGUC
RNAcentral lists this ribosomal RNA (202 nucleotides) under Alkalihalobacterium chitinilyticum. RNAcentral describes it as "partial 16S ribosomal RNA". It matches the Rfam family "Bacterial small subunit ribosomal RNA", at positions 1 to 197 of the family's 1533-position model. The record is from RNAcentral. Lineage: Bacteria; Bacillati; Bacillota; Bacilli; Caryophanales; Bacillaceae.